Molecule: ribosomal RNA, 497 nt
Filed under: uncultured bacterium
Lineage: Bacteria
Description: partial 16S ribosomal RNA
Rfam family: Bacterial small subunit ribosomal RNA
Source: RNAcentral
GAUGAACGCUGGCGGCGUGCCUAAUACAUGCAAGUCGAGCGAACGGACGAGAAGCUUGCUUCUCUGAUGUUAGCGGCGGACGGGUGAGUAACACGUGGAUAACCUACCUAUAAGACUUGGAUAACUUCGGGAAACCUGAGCUAAUACCGGAUAAUAUUUUGAACCGCAUGGUUCAAAAGUGAAAGACGGUCUUGCUGUCACUUAUAGAUGGAUCCGCGCUGCAUUAGCUAGUUGGUAAGGUAACGGCUUACCAAGGCAACGAUGCAUAGCCGACCUGAGAGGGUGAUCGGCAACACUGGAACUGAGACACGGUCCAGACUCCUACGGGAGGCAGCAGUAGGGAAUAGUCCGCAAUGGGCGAAAGCAUGACGGAGCAACGCCGCGUGAGUGAUGAAGGUCUUAGGAUCGUAAAACUCUGUUAUUAGGGAAGAACAUAUGUGUAAGUAACUGUGCACAUAUUGACGGUAACUAAUAAGAAAGCCACGGCUAACUACGUG